UCCUUUGCCUCCUCCUCUUCAGAGACGGCAAGCAAUUUGAUCUAUUAUCUGUUAACUUCUCUGGGAAUAUUUUGAGCCUGCUCACCUGAGUCCAUUGCAUCCAUUAUCACAUGGGUGAAGUGUUUGUCCUCUGCUUCAGGGGCCAGAUGUGAUUCUCACAUAGAAGGGAGUUUGAGCCACAGCAGCCUUGGAGUCGGGAUAGCAGGUGAGAAGAUGCAGUCAACCAGCCCAGCAUGGAAGUCCCAAGAGAGCAGGGUACCUGGGACUCAAGCCAGAGGUGGGUUUUGGACUUGGAGCAGGAACUACCCUCUAUGGGAAUCAUGCUAAACUAUUAGCUUAGUGUGAAGCAGACAGCUUUUUGCAACUCUAUCUCACUGAAAUCCAAUUCCCAGGCAAGUCAAGACAUCACCCAUGAUGUCACUGGUCUUCUUCAAAAACGAAGGAUGAAUAAACAACAACGAGGUGCAAGGGUAGGGGAAAAA
RNAcentral lists this long non-coding RNA (482 nucleotides) under Monodelphis domestica (gray short-tailed opossum). RNAcentral describes it as "lncRNA (ENSMODG00000039135.1)". Lineage: Eukaryota; Metazoa; Chordata; Mammalia; Didelphimorphia; Didelphidae. The record is from RNAcentral.